AGCCAUCUCCCUCCCACAGAGACCCAGCCUGUGGAGCAUCCUGGCCCCCAGCGGGCACACGGAGGCCCACAGCUCUAGAAUUGGGGCUGGAAAGAGGACACCAGAGGGAGAGUUUCACAGAGAGCCAGAAAAGUGCUAGGGAGAAGGCAUCAAUCUCUCAUAAAAUGGAAAGCUGCCCACUUCCGAUCUCCAAUCAAGCAAAGGAGACAGAAGUGGCGGCUGUCGCCAAGCUGCCACAUCUCCAGAAUCACUGCUGAGUAAUUGCUGGGUACUUCAAGUCCGGGAUGGGGGCUCUUUAAGCAAUAUUUCAUGGGAGAGAUAUUGAGCCCUCAUCAGGACAAGAAAUAUGGUCGUUAAACAGGCAGCUAAUGGUAUACCAUUCAUCCGGGGGCAAAUCUGUGAGGUUCAUUAAGCUGACCAGCCCAGCUCCUGAAGAGGGAUGCAAAAUUAGCCAGAGGAGGGAAGAGGUAGGAAGACACUGGAAGGAGGUGGAGUGAAGAAGCUUGUCUUCCAGGUGGUGAUUCUGGAACGUGGAAGGGAAGGGAUGGGAAGCUCGUCUUCUUCCCUGCUCCUCACAAAGAACGUUUUGACUCGGCGGAGCAGAUUGCUAGAAGGAAUCCCUAGUCAACGCAUCUGACCAGUACGCCCCGAAGAUCACCAACUUCCAUUGUUAAAUUCUCAACCGGUGCCACUUUCCCAAACCCAGAAAGCUGCUCUGCAAAAAACCUGCCCAAUCAACCUGACCUCUGGGCAGCCUCUACCCAGACCACUGGGAGUUUUCAUCAAAGGGAAAGAAGACAAGGCACAGCGCAGGGGCUGGUUCUCAAGGCUUCCACACAAAGCUGACCCAAUCAUUCUGCUCACGUUUCACAGGCUGGAACAGGUCUCCUGGAGACCUAAGCAUUCAAGAAAUAGGAAAAUGGGGCAGCCGGGGUGGCCCAGUGGUUUAGCGAUGCCUUCAGCCCAGGACCUGAUCCUGGAGACCCGGGAUCGAGUCCCACCUCGGGCUCCCUGCAUGGAGCCUGCUUCUCCCUCUCCUGUGCCUCUGCCUCUCUCUCUGUGUCUCUCAUGAAUAAAUAAAUAAAAUAUUAAAAAAAAAAGAAAUAAGGAAUGUAAUCCCCUACCUCAGAAUUUGGCAAACUUCUGUAUAAGGCCUCGUGGUAAGUAUUAUAUACUGUGGGCUGC
This 1185-nucleotide long non-coding RNA is filed under the name Canis lupus familiaris (dog). RNAcentral describes it as "lncRNA (ENSCAFG00000037461.3)". The record is from RNAcentral. Lineage: Eukaryota; Metazoa; Chordata; Mammalia; Carnivora; Canidae.